RNAcentral lists this ribosomal RNA (254 nucleotides) under uncultured bacterium. RNAcentral describes it as "partial 16S ribosomal RNA". It matches the Rfam family "Bacterial small subunit ribosomal RNA", at positions 524 to 776 of the family's 1533-position model. The record is from RNAcentral.
UACGUAGGGAGCAAGCGUUUGUCCGGAAUUAUUGGGCGUAAAGAGCUCGUAGGCGGUUUGUCACGUCUGCUGUGAAAACUGGAGGCUCAACCUCCAGCUUGCAGUGGGUACGGGCAGACUAGAGUGCGGUAGGGGAGAUUGGAAUUCCUGGUGUAGCGGUGGAAUGCGCAGAUAUCAGGAGGAACACCGAUGGCGAAGGCAGAUCUCUGGGCCGUAACUGACGCUGAGGAGCGAAAGCAUGGGGAGCGAACAGG